GGUGAGCAAUGUCCGUUAAGUUGAAAUUUGAAUUUAAAUUGUAUGGCGGUAUCGAUAUUUGCGACGCGACUGUUGUGCAAGCUAACAGCUGCUCGCGAUAACAUCUGCAUUCGAUGAUUGAUGCACUCGCCAACAGAUGUUAGUAUAUUAUUAAUUAUCUAUUGAAUAUUUGCAGUGAGUUGGCAGGAUCACUUUUGCCAUUCACAUAAGUAUCGUAUUAAAUAAUAUCGAUAUCUAACUUAGAUAAUCAAGCAAUAUCGAUAUUCUCGCUUAAUCUAGGCUAGACCAUCACUUUUCAAUUCGAAAGCUACAAAGAUAGUGUGCCGCAGCCAAAAUAUUAAAAAUAAAUCUGACGGCAUCCGUCAUAAUAUAAUAUAUAUAUUUUAUUGGUGUUGUUCGGGAGUGCGCACUUUUCAAAGUGCAUUGUUUUUAUUUUCUUUGGCCCUCUUGUUGGUUUUACAAGGUUAUUGUGUGUGCAAUCACGUGGCAACGACCACAGUACAGCACACAUCCACUGAUCUGCAACUGCAGAGGCCCCGCGCCAAAAAGGCGUGGCAACAACUUUGCAAAGGGAGUUGCCACCAUAUGCCUAGAUAUUUGCAUUUGAGUCACCAGUUUAGUGACUUAAAGACAGCAAGAGGCUGUAGAAGCGACGCCAUGCGUUGCUAAAACGGUUCCAGAAGGAACCCAAGCUUCGGAUAAACUCUUUUGAGAUAGAACGGAUUAGCAUUGAGCUGAUCGUGGCCACUUCUCGUUACCAGUGUGGAAGUUGCGCCAUGCGCUGCUGCGGCUGCGCGUUUCGCAGACUCGUUGCUACGACUCGCUGCUAAGUGUUGCCGAGUCCGCACCACUCGUCGUCGCAUCCCUGAUUGGAUGUUGUGUUGACAGUGCGAUUGUCACUGGAGGCCACUGCUAAUUUUCGUUGCUGCUUCUGACGCCGCCGACAGUGCUGUUGCACUCUCUGUCGCCUUUGUUGCUGUUAUUUCUUUUCUCGUAUACGAUUUUUCUUUGCCAUAUAAAAUGUUCAACAAAGUAACGUAAAUUCAAUUAAAAAUAGUAUUGAAAUAUAAUUCGUAUUUGAA
Drosophila sulfurigaster albostrigata is the source of this 1082-nucleotide long non-coding RNA. RefSeq lists it as uncharacterized. The transcript is spliced from 2 exons. NCBI's taxonomy places the organism in Eukaryota, Metazoa, Arthropoda, Insecta, Diptera, Drosophilidae. The record is from RefSeq and is a predicted model, not a curated record.